GCAAGUCGAGCGGUAGCACAGAGAAGCUUGCUUCUUGGGUGACGAGCGGCGGACGGGUGAGUAACGCGUGGGAAUCUACCUGGUAGUGGGGGACAACAGUCGGAAACGACUGCUAAUACCGCAUACGCCCUUUGGGGGAAAGUGGGGGAUCUUCGGACCUCACGCUAUCAGAUGAGCCCGCGUCGGAUUAGCUUGUUGGUGAGGUAAAGGCUCACCAAGGCGAUGAUCCGUAGCUGGUCUGAGAGGAUGACCAGCCACACUGGGACUGAGACACGGCCCAGACUCCUACGGGAGGCAGCAGUGGGGAAUAUUGGACAAUGGGGGCAACCCUGAUCCAGCCAUGCCGCGUGUGUGAAGAAGGCCUUCGGGUUGUAAAGCACUUUCAGCUGUGAGGAAAGGCGAGUGGUUAAUACCCGCUUGCUGUGACGUUAACAGCAGAAGAAGGACCGGCUAACUCCGUGCCAGCAGCCGCGGUAAUACGGAGGGUCCGAGCGUUAAUCGGAAUUACUGGGCGUAAAGCGCGCGUAGGUGGUUCAGUCAGUCAGAUGUGAAAGCCCCGGGCUCAACCUGGGAACUGCACCUGAUACUGCUGAGCUAGAGUACGGUAGAGGGUAGUGGAAUUUCCGGUGUAGCGGUGAAAUGCGUAGAGAUCGGAAGGAACACCAGUGGCGAAGGCGACUACCUGGACCGAUACUGACACUGAGGUGCGAAAGCGUGGGUAGCAAACAGGAUUAGAUACCCUGGUAGUCCACGCCGUAAACGAUGUCAACUAGCCGUUGGGGGACUUGAUCCUUUAGUGGCGAAGCUAACGCGAUAAGUUGACCGCCUGGGGAGUACGGCCGCAAGGUUACAACUCAAUGAAUUGACGGAA
This 871-nucleotide ribosomal RNA is filed under the name uncultured bacterium. RNAcentral describes it as "bacterial SSU rRNA". It matches the Rfam family "Bacterial small subunit ribosomal RNA", at positions 57 to 918 of the family's 1533-position model. The record is from RNAcentral.